CAUGCUUCAGAAUGAACGCGGGCGGCGUGCCUAACACAUGCAAGUCGCACGAGAAAGGGGGCUUCGGUUCCCGAGUAAAGUGGCGCACGGGUGAGUAACGCGUGGGUGACCUACCCUGGAAUCCGGGAUAACACUGCGAAAGUGGUGCUAAUACCGGAUACGAUCCUCUAGCGAUAGAGGGUGAAAGUCGGCCUCUCGAAGAAGCUGAUGUUCCGGGAUGGGCUCGCGUCCUAUCAGCUAGUUGGUAGGGUAACGGCCUACCAAGGCGACGACGGGUAGCUGGUCUGAGAGGAUGAUCAGCCACACUGGCACUGAAACACGGGCCAGACUCCUACGGGAGGCAGCAGUGAGGAAUUUUGCGCAAUGGGGGCAACCCUGACGCAGCAACGCCGCGUGGGUGAAGAAGGUCUUCGGAUCGUAAAGCCCUGUCAGGUGGGAAGAAUGUCUUCAAGGUGAACAAUCUUGGGGAGUGACGGUACCACCAGAGGAAGCACCGGCUAACUCCGUGCCAGCAGCCGCGGUAAUACGGAGGGUGCGAGCGUUGUUCGGAAUCAUUGGGCGUAAAGGGCGUGCAGGCGGCUGGGUAAGUCUGAUGUGAAAGCCCGGGGCUCAACCCCGGAAGUGCAUUGGAAACUGUCCAGCUUGAGUACCGGAGAGGAUGGGGGAAUUCCCGGUGUAGAGGUGAAAUUCGUAGAGAUCGGGAGGAAUACCAGUGGCGAAGGCGCCCAUCUGGACGGAUACUGACGCUGAGACGCGAAAGCGUGGGGAGCAAACAGGAUUAGAUACCCUGGUAGUCCACGCUGUAAACGAUGAGCACUAUGUGUAGCGGGUAUUGACCCCUGCUGUGCCGCAGCUAACGCAUUAAGUGCUCCGCCUGGGGAUUACGGUCGGCAGACUAAAACUCAAAG
RNAcentral lists this ribosomal RNA (908 nucleotides) under uncultured bacterium. RNAcentral describes it as "bacterial SSU rRNA". It matches the Rfam family "Bacterial small subunit ribosomal RNA", at positions 18 to 906 of the family's 1533-position model. The record is from RNAcentral.